This 497-nucleotide ribosomal RNA is filed under the name uncultured bacterium. RNAcentral's name for it is "partial 16S ribosomal RNA". It matches the Rfam family "Bacterial small subunit ribosomal RNA", at positions 28 to 507 of the family's 1533-position model. The record is from RNAcentral.
GAUGAACGCUGGCGGCGUGCCUAAUACAUGCAAGUCGAGCGAACAGACGAGGAGCUUGCUCCUCGGACGUUAGCGACGGACGGGUGAGUAACACGUGGAUAACCUACCUAUAAGACUGGGAUAACUUCGGGAAACCGGAGCUAAUACCGGAUAAUAUAUUGAACCGCAUGGGUGAAUAGUGAAAGACGGUUUUGCGGUCACUUAUAGAUGGAUCUGGGCCGCAUUAGCUAGUUGGUAAGGUAACGGCUUACCAAGGCAACGAUGCGUAGCCGACCUGAGAGGGUGAUCGGCCACACUGGAGCUGAGACACGGUCCAGAGUCCUACGGGAGGCAGCAGUAGGGAAUCUUCCGCAAUGGGCGAGAGCCUGACGGAGCAACGCCGCGUGAGUGAUGAAGGUCUUCGGAUCGUAAAACUCUGUUAUUGGGGAAGAACAAAUGUGUAAGUAACUAUGCACGUCUUGACGGUACCUAAUCAGAAAGCAACGGCUAACUACGUG